This 503-nucleotide ribosomal RNA is filed under the name uncultured fungus. Its description in RNAcentral is "SSU rRNA". It matches the Rfam family "Eukaryotic small subunit ribosomal RNA", at positions 569 to 1078 of the family's 1831-position model. The record is from RNAcentral. Lineage: Eukaryota; Fungi.
AGCAGCCGCGGUAAUUCCAGCUCCAAUAGCGUAUAUUAAAGUUGUUGUGGUUAAAAAGCUCGUAGUUGAACCUUGGGCCUGGCUGGCCGGUCCGCCUCACCGCGUGUACUGGUCCGGCCGGGCCUUUCCCUCUGUGGAACCCUAUGCCCUUCACUGGGUGUAGCGGGGAAACAGGACUUUUACUUUGAAAAAAUUAGAGUGCUCCAGGCAGGCCUUUGCUCGAAUACAUUAGCAUGGAAUAAUAAAAUAGGACGUGUGGUUCUAUUUUGUUGGUUUCUAGGACCGCCGUAAUGAUUAAUAGGGACAGUCGGGGGCAUCAGUAUCCAAUUGUCAGAGGUGAAAUUCUUGGAUUUAUUGAAGACUAACUACUGCGAAAGCAUUUGCCAAGGAUGUUUUCAUUAAUCAGGAACGAAAGUUAGGGGAUCGAAGACGAUCAGAUACCGUCGUAGUCUUAACCNUAAACUAUGCCGACUAGGGAUCGGACGAUGUUAAAAAUNAANGCG